GAUGAACGCUGGCUACAGGCUUAACACAUGCGAGUCGAGGGGAAACGACGGGGAAGCUUGCUUCCCCGGGCGUCGACCGGCGCACGGGUGAGUAACGCGUAUCCAACCUGCCUCUGACUGAGGGAUAACCCGUCGAAAGUCGGCCUAAUACCUCAUGGCAUCGUCUGCGGGCAUCCAACGACGAUUAAAGAUUUCAUCGGUCAGGGAUGGGGAUGCGUCUGAUUAGCUAGUUGGCGGGGUAACGGCCCACCAAGGCGACGAUCAGUAGGGGUUCUGAGAGGAAGGUCCCCCACAUUGGAACUGAGACACGGUCCAAACUCCUACGGGAGGCAGCAGUGAGGAAUAUUGGUCAAUGGGCGAGAGCCUGAACCAGCCAAGUAGCGUGCAGGAUGACGGCCCUAUGGGUUGUAAACUGCUUUUAUGCGGGGAUAAAGUGAGGGACGUGUCCUUCAUUGCAGGUACCGCAUGAAUAAGGACCGGCUAAUUCCGUG
RNAcentral lists this ribosomal RNA (491 nucleotides) under uncultured bacterium. RNAcentral describes it as "partial 16S ribosomal RNA". It matches the Rfam family "Bacterial small subunit ribosomal RNA", at positions 28 to 507 of the family's 1533-position model. The record is from RNAcentral.